GAAUUUUACGAAAGACUUGUUGAAUACUGUGUAGAUCUAUAUGAAAUCGUUUUGACAUAAAUUAGGUUGCCGGAACCACUGCGGUGUACGUACGAUAGGCGAACGAGAAUGAUGGGUGGCGUGGUCGGUGGUCUCGCAAAUAAUGAGCUCCUCAGCAGUCCGUCCUAGUGUAGUAGUUGUUGAGGACAAAGCAUGAGGUAGGAUAGGCAGGCAGGCAGGCAGGCGAGCCGGAGGUCUGAGGUCUGAGCUCCCUCAGGUCCCCGUCUUGCCAGUGAGCCGUGCCCGUGGGGGGAUGUUUCGACCAGAGGAAAAUUUCGGGCGCCACCGUCUGGAGGGAUGGGGACACUGUCUCCUCUUUUGUCUCCGCGGGCCGGGGCGGGGCUGUGUCGCGCUGGCUUCGGCGGUCCUGUGUUUGGUGGCGGGGCGGACGGAGGAGGGAGAGGAGGGGCCGCGGUCGGCGGCGGAGGCAGGAGGAGGAGCAGCAGCAGAGGAGGAUGGGGGCUUUUCCGACUCUAGCGGCCAAGCGCCCGGUAAACUAAAACCGCGCGCCAAAGAUGAAAGAUCGGCACGAAGGGUACCGGCCCAGGUAGCGCCGGCGCCGGAAGAAGGGCCCCGGCGGCCCCGGCGGCGGCGGCGGGUUCUCGCGGGACCCGCUCGCAGGCCUGUCGGACCUGCAGGCGCCGUAGCGGCGCUCCGUCCGGAGCAGCAGGAGGCGGCACUCCCGGCGGUCCUGCGCGCGGGUGCGCCGGCAGGGGUUCCACUUGCCGCCGCCGUUCAGCCGCGACCGCCUGCGCCUCGUGCUGCGGUACGGGAGCCGCCGCGUCGGCUCCUGCAAGAUGUUGGUCGACGGGCUGACCUCGUACGAGGAGCGCCGGUAGUGGUGGUAGAAGGACCGGCGGCUCUUCGUCACCUGCGACGAGCUGACCUUCGGGUUCGCCGGGCUGUACGAGCAGCUGUGCGACCCGAAGCCGUGGUAGCAUGUGCUGCCGCAGUACAAGUCCGUCUUGAAGAGGUAGUCCAGGAUGCUCUAACCCCGACUGGCCUGCCGCAGGUAACUCUGCGAGUACUUGGUAGACGUCCUUUGACGUGAGUUAGUACACUUCCAGCAACCCGACGAUCCUCUACCGAAGCCAAGCUGCGGCCUCUACUCAUUUGCCUUGAACAAGACCCAACAGUCGGUUUACGUCCGGUAGCAGCUCGCAAUAGGUACGACCCCACUAUGACAACUCCACUUGUGGACCCAACCGGUAGUACCAUUUUUGCCCUACGCAGCCCUGACCGUAUAUGCACUAAGACACUGCCCGGAAUGUCAUGACUUCCGCUGUUCAUUUACCCAAUACUACUUGUUCCAAUGAUCUUCCGAACGUUCUUAAGGUCUACUUCAUGCCUGACUUUAUCUCGGCAAGAAAAGACUCAUACGACGAUAACUACUGGUUCUGUUGGCUUUUAAAGGUUUUGACGGCCUCGUACUGGCACGAUGGAGUCGGUUUAUACAGGCCUGUCCGGACUGAGGUGCCACCCGACUAGAACUAUAGUUAGUCGUACAGUUAUUACAAUUUAUGUAACCGACCUAGGAACUCUCGCGCGGUUAGAGGUAGGACCUCUUGGUACUUGACCGCUCGUAUCAGGACCUGAUGUUUGCCCUCACGCCGGCCUUGUCGCAGGACCUCAGCGUGUGGUGCCACGUGUGGCUGACGCGGCUGCUCAGGCCUCUUUGUUGAGACGUGACGCUCGUAGACGACUCGGACCUCAGUCCUGGCUGGUAGCACUUCCGGGCCUGGUACACCGCCGGGUUCCCCCGGUUCAGGGUCCUUUGCCGCCGAGACAGCACCACUAAAAGCCGCCUUUUUUAGUGUGUAACGUGUAUGUAUACCUACGGAUAUUAGGGUAGUACCGUAACGUUUCCCUACGGGUUCAAUAUAUGUAUAUGUAUCUUACCUUCACACACUUCCACCUCCCCCAGUCUCCCCAUAUCCUCUCGCUAGUCUUCGUCUCUUCCGUUUAACCACAACAUUAAUAGACUCAAACAUCGAUGACGCCACACUACCCUCCACUUACGAAGGGUGUGGUGUGGACCCCAGACAGACAGACAGACAGACAGACCCCGACACAGAUAUAAUGCUCGGGGACUUCCGUCGGACGAAAUAGGAAUGACUUGAAAUUCUAGCAUAUAACAUGACUAAAAUAACAUUUACACUCUAGCCGAGGAAGAGAGGACCAACAACGGCUUUGCACAACUUUGAACUCUAGGACCCAGAACUCGACAGGUCGGAACUCUACCACGCCGACGAUUUACGAAAGUUCUCAACGGAGCUGGACGGACGCAUCAACCUCGUCCGUUCCGUCCGUCGAACUGCACUCGUUACCGCCCGAGUCGAAUAAAAUAGCCCCAACUGUGUAGUUUAGACUUUUCGUUAAAGACACGUUCUUGUACGCCUGAGGAUUCCCGAGUAGACCAAGUUUCCUUAUCCUUUAAAAGGAUAUUAUUACAAUGAUAAGUACAGAAACCAAGCUUCUUUACCCCGCUUCCUUUUAACCUCCCUAAAAAAGGACACUAGGGCCAAAGUUUCCUUUUUGUGGGUUCAAAAGGAAACCGUUACAAGUAAUCCUAAUGGACACAAAAGGUCAAGGUCACUUUGUUUGUCGUUUCAACUGUCUUAGGGAGAUUCUGGGUGUACAAAGACCGAUCAUCCUCAUGAAGUCUACGUCAAAGAGCCUCUGACAUGACAACCGUACUGUUCGGAAAAACCAUCAGGUACGUACUUGCCUGGACGUCUAUCAUAUAUUAAUUCCUUGCAGAUCGAAAAGAACGAACAGUUCGAAGACCUCGGCCUCGAAGAGCACGUCGUAAGUCGCCUUAAUAUAACAUGACGGAGACAACUCACAACUGGUCGUGUUAGAUCGCACCAGACUCUGGACGUCCGCCGAACACCUAGCUCAGUUCGC
This 2946-nucleotide ribosomal RNA is filed under the name Triticum aestivum (bread wheat). Its description in RNAcentral is "partial small subunit ribosomal RNA". The record is from RNAcentral. Lineage: Eukaryota; Viridiplantae; Streptophyta; Magnoliopsida; Poales; Poaceae.